RNAcentral lists this ribosomal RNA (508 nucleotides) under uncultured bacterium. Its description in RNAcentral is "partial 16S ribosomal RNA". It matches the Rfam family "Bacterial small subunit ribosomal RNA", at positions 30 to 523 of the family's 1533-position model. The record is from RNAcentral.
AUUGAACGCUGGCGGCAUGCCUUACACAUGCAAGUCGAACGGCAGCGGGGGAGAAGCUUGCUUUUCCUGCCGGCGAGUGGCGAACGGGUGAGUAAUACAUCGGAACGUGCCCUGUAGUGGGGGAUAACUAGUCGAAAGAUUAGCUAAUACCGCAUACGACCUGAGGGUGAAAGGGGGGGACCGCAAGGCCUCAUGCUAUAGGAGCGGCCGAUGUCUGAUUAGCUAGUUGGUGGGGUAAAGGCCUACCAAGGCGACGAUCAGUAGCUGGUCUGAGAGGCCGGUCAGCCACACUGGGACUGAGACACGGCCGAGAUUCCUACGGGAGGCAGCAGUGGGGAAUUUUGGACAAUGGGCGAAAGCCUGAUCCAGCAAUGCCGCGUGUGUGAAGAAGGCCUUCGGGUUGUAAAGCACUUUUGUCCGGAAAGAAAUGGCUCUGGUUAAUACCUGGGGUCGAUGACGGUACCGGAAGAAUAAGGACCGGCUGACUACGUGCCAGCCGCCGCCGUAA